GAGAGGAGACGAUCUCUCAUUCUCUUUCGUGUUGCCGGGAGAGAGAUGUAGCUCAAACCAUGGGACUGUUUAGAAGCAGCCCUGUCUCAAUCAAGCUGCCUAGCUGCUUAGCAUUCCCCCGGCCAGCCUGUUGUUGUUAGAGGAGGUAAGGCAAUAAGUGUCGGAGCAUCCUGGCUGGGGAAUUUAUUCUGCCUAUUGAUCAACUGAUGACUCGGCGCGUUAGCUGCGACUGCGUUGGUAAAGAAGAGAGAUUGAGGCGUUGUCAGCCUCAUGUCUGAGAGAAAGGACAGAGGGGCUGUCGAUGACUCAUACAGCUUGUGAAAUCCAGAGGUUACAUAUCCUUGCCUGGCUACCCAGACUGCUUGCUCCAUCCAAACACUGCGAGACACCCACGGACGUAAGGUUCUUCUCCACAAUGAGUGUGGAUCUGAGUACCUCCCAGACUCUUCACCGAAUGCGAACGUAUUUGGGGGUCGUCUGAUUGUACCAGAAACCGAUGGGUUGGGCCAGAGCCAGAACACACGUGGGUAAAGCAGCGGUUUGAAAAUGUUUAUUUGGCUUUGAUACUCUGAUUGGUUAGAAACGAUCCAAUCGCUGAUAACUUUUUUUGAACAACGGAACAGUGGAAGAAUUCAGUGUGAGUCGUAAGGCUAUACAUGUCCCUCGCAUUAGGCUCGUCCAUUUAGGCCCCUCACCCAGACCACUCCCAGACAGUCCUAGCAAAAUUAUUGCUUGAGAAAUUCCUCUUUACUAAGAAGCUAUUUUUGUAUCUCUUUUACAAUUUUAAUUGAAAACAAUCACAGUAAGUUUUUUUUUUUACUGUUACCAGAAAUAAUUGUUACCCAAAAUAAUUUGAUAAAUAGAUUAAAACAAUGUCUGCAUUGGACCUUUAAAGGUAAUUUCCUGCGAUUCUUCAUAUUCUGUCCUGGAGCUGAGAUUAUAAUAUUUUUUUUCAGUUUCAAAGCUAAUUUCCUUCAAUUCUAUUCAUUUUGUCAUGGCUAUGGCUAAUGCUGUGUUAUUUUGCUCAUACAAAGUAACACAAUCCAUACUGGUAAAUUCAUUGUUUUUGGAGUUGUUUUGUUUUACUCUAGUGUCAAAAUUGACGACAAAGUGUAAAUAGGAUCCUUUUGGUCAUGAAGUCAGUCUUGUCCAAAAUUUGAUUUGGAAGUGAGUGCGCCAUGACGGGUAUGGGUUUGUUACAUGCCCACUUUUGCCAAUGAUGUCCAAUUGCCCACACACACUUGCUCGGCAUAGGAGUGAAAAUGGGCUUCCUUAAAGUUGGUGCAAACUUGAUGGCAAGAUGGACUACAUACAACAAACGUACGACAUCAUGGCUGUGACUGGUGUGUGGUGAGUAGCUAGCUAUGAUACUGUGAUGUAACUCGCUAAAUACAUAGCCUCUCCCUAAUGUGAUAUAAUGUCAUAGACAGGAAGAUUUGCAUAGCUAACGUUGCACCUGACGAGAAGGUUUGAUAGGAUGUAACUGUGGCCAUGUUGCUAUCGUUAACGUUUCCACUCGAACUGCCGAGCUAAGAAGAUCUCCAGUAGCUAAAGUUAGGUAGCUAGCCAAAUAAUUUCAACUAGGAUAAAAAUAUUGAUAACUAAUCCAGAUUUGCACGUUAGGUAGCUAGCUACUUUUAUGAGAACAGGCAUGUUGUUUGGGUUAGCACUUGCCCUCGAAAACAGGCCCUGGCGGCAUUCUGCCUUUUAUUGAUCAAGGGCUAGGUUAUUUAGCACUAGCUAGCUAGCAUUCGGGGGCUUCAUCUGCUACUAGUGCUAAAACAACACGCCUGCUCUCGUGAAAGUCUGUUGUGUAUUUUCUAAUGCAAAAAUAAAUGAAAGAUGGCACUUGUCUAGACCGAGUACCAGUCUUUUAAGCUAGCAUGCUACAAAUACGUGUCAGUGAGCAUUCGGCAAUGUAUCGUUACACCGCUACUUGCAUAGUACCAGCGUCAUGCAGCGUCAUUGGCCUGAA
Oncorhynchus gorbuscha (pink salmon) is the source of this 1975-nucleotide long non-coding RNA. RefSeq lists it as uncharacterized. The record is from RefSeq and is a predicted model, not a curated record. The transcript has 3 exons. NCBI's taxonomy places the organism in Eukaryota, Metazoa, Chordata, Actinopteri, Salmoniformes, Salmonidae.